This is a long non-coding RNA of Pseudophryne corroboree (corroboree frog), 471 nucleotides long. RefSeq lists it as uncharacterized. The record is from RefSeq and is a predicted model, not a curated record. NCBI's taxonomy places the organism in Eukaryota, Metazoa, Chordata, Amphibia, Anura, Myobatrachidae. The transcript has 4 exons.
AGUUGGCUCUGGCACUUUGGUCCAUGUGAGACACUGAAUGGUGUGGUACAGCUCUGCAUCUCUUUACUGGAAAAAGCAUCAAAUCUUUUAAAGAAGGAGAAGUGGACAAGUGAGGAAGUUGCCCUUAGCAACCAAUAAGCUUGUAGCUUGCAUUUAUCAAGUACAUUCAGUAAAAAAAUAGAAGCUGAUUGGGCAACUUCUCCACUCUUUAGAAGGAUCCCUGAAGAAAAUGAUGUCCCCCCAGAAACUGGACCUGAUUAUCAGAAAGCAACAAGCAGGGCACCAUGACGCCACACCUUCAGCCUCUAAAUCAUAUGGACAGUGAAUGGGUUGCAGCUAGUGGACAAAAGCAAGGUAACUGAAGAUGGCUUUGACAAAAUAGGAGAGAAUUUAUGUCAAACAUCGUGUGCUGCAUUGUAGGCACGAAGGAUGAAAAAACCAUUGUUGAGGUCAAGUCUAAUUAAUGAAGGA